This 697-nucleotide ribosomal RNA is filed under the name Gammarus mucronatus. Its description in RNAcentral is "bacterial SSU rRNA". It matches the Rfam family "Eukaryotic small subunit ribosomal RNA", at positions 1255 to 1822 of the family's 1831-position model. Lineage: Eukaryota; Metazoa; Arthropoda; Malacostraca; Amphipoda; Gammaridae. The record is from RNAcentral.
CUCUUUCUCGAUUCAGUGGAUGGUGGUGCAUGGCCGUUCUUAGUUGGUGGAGUGAUCUGUCUGGUUAAUUCCGAUAACGAACGAGACUCUCCCCUGCUAACUAGUCGGCUGGAUCUUGUUAAGCGGGUUGCGUGCCGAGUAGCUCUUGCUGCGCUUCGCUCACGCGUUGCGUACGCUUGGACGCCUUGGAUCACACUGCACCCCAAGUCCGCCGCUUAUGCUAUAACUCUUCUUAGAGGGAUUCACGGCACUGAAGCCGUAAGAGACUGAGAGCAAUAACAGGUCUGUGAUGCCCUUAGAUGCUCUGGGCCGCACGCGCGCUACAAUGCCGGGCACAGCAGGUGUUUCUCCUGCUCCGACAGGAGCGGGUAACCCUCUGAAAGCCAGUGUUCUUGCAAGUGCGUUCUCCUUCGCGGGAAGCGCACAGAGGCGUGCUUGGGCCUGGGACUUGCAAUUCUUUCCCACCAACGAGGAAUGCCUAGUAGCGGCGGGUCACUGAGCCCGCUGUGACUCAGUCCCUGCCCUUUGUACACACCGCCCGUCGCUACUACCGAUUGGGUGUACCAGUGAGAGCCUUGGACUGGCGUCCGUUGUUGCUCGCAAGAGUGACAAGCGGGUCCGACGGAAAGAGGUCCGAACUGGUGCACUUAGAGGAAGUAAAAGUCGUAACAAGGUUUCCGUAGGUGAACCUGCGGAA